Brassica rapa (field mustard) is the source of this 3107-nucleotide long non-coding RNA. RefSeq lists it as uncharacterized. Lineage: Eukaryota; Viridiplantae; Streptophyta; Magnoliopsida; Brassicales; Brassicaceae. The record is from RefSeq and is a predicted model, not a curated record.
AUUAAGAUACUAAAUUGGCGGUUAGCCCUCUCUAGCAGUCCUAAUAUGAUAGAUAGGUGUCAGGAUGGGAUAACAAGGGUGCUUGAGUAUGCAAUCCUAUGAUCAAGUUCUAGUUAAUUAAUCUAAAACAAGCAAUGAAUACAAAUCUAUCAUGAAUAUCACAACAAGGCAGAUCUAUAGUUUGGGGCUAAUCCCACAAACCUAUCUGAACCCCAAACCUAACAGGUUGAUCUAUUCAGACAUGAAAUUAGUCACAUAAAUCAUAGAUGAAACAGAUGUAAAACUGAAAUAGAAAUGAUUAAGAAAACCAAUGAAGUUCCAGGAGGACUCUGAUAGAAGUUCCUCCCUUCUCUCCUCUAAGAGAAACAAUGGAAAUGAAAGCGUAAAGAAGUCUAGAAAGCGUUACCGUCAACAAUGGCUUAGAAAUAACAUAAAUAGGGUUUCUGGUCGUCCAAGGGCAUUCUGGUAAUUUGUGGCUUAUGGGCUUCACGCAGUCAUAAAAUAUACAAGGCCCACGAUAUGGGAUCUCCAUUGAUCUGGGAUCUCCAUCGGUCUGGGAUCUCCAUCGAUCGACGUGCAGAGUGCUGCAUCGAUCGACCUGGCUUCCUCUUCUCAGCAGCUUCCUCUCGCGAGGCAGACUGACCACUCUUCAGUAAAACGGACAUAACGUCUGCUACAAGAUGCUGAUUUUACCUAAGACCGGUGGCAUUGGAAAUCUAACUCAAAGCUCUAUUUUGUGUCAAAAUAUAGGCUUAAUCUAACGGUCGGAAGGUCUCCAUCCAUAGCUAAACAUCUGAUGCGUCUGUGCAACUCUGCACAUCCAAAGGCCCCAAAAGACUCCAAAAUCACCAUAUUUCUCUUAAACGUCCCUGAACCUGUAAAUACUCUAAAUAGACUCCAAAACAUAAUUAUUGUAUCUUAAAACACUUUAAAACACUUAUAAACCAUGAUUAAAAAUGGAUAAAAUAUAUGGUCUAUCAAUUACCACUAUUAUGGUUUUUUAAGUUUUCAUGGUUUUAAUUUAACACUAAAUAGCAAUAAGGGGAUUAACUCUAUAUGAUGUGAAAACUUAUCUCCAAUAUGGUUUGAACUUAUAUUAACUUAUAUGUGUUGUUUCAUCACGCAGAUGAUUGCCACUCCUGUUACCAUCGAUGGUCAUGACUCAUGAGUAUGCUCCUCUUAAGUAUGAGACAUCUCAACAACAUAGGCAUUAGUGCCAUCAAUGAGAUAGCUCUUUUGCAGUUUCGGUCAGUCUUUGGAUGUUUUAGCAAAAUGGUUCGUUGAUACUUGGUAGUAGAGUUGUAUUUGUCGUUUAGGAUGUGAAUAGAUAAUAAAAUUUGUUUAAAGCUUGAAGGUUUGAGAUUGCAAUUGUCAUAUACAAACAAAUCCCUCUUAGAAGGAAGCGAACGUACUCAUUUUUUUCUUUGUAAUAAAUAAGAAAGACACAUGAUUUUCUUACACAGAUGCAAGUACUGCCUAAACAAGAGGUCUUGAUACAAAAGGCAAGUCAUUUUGAAACUUGGUUUGAAGAUUUUCCAAGCAUAUUGGAUCUACAAAACAAAAACGCAACUCUCACACAGACCAAGCCAUGUUAUUGAUUGUGUUGGGCUUGGAAGCUUCCAUGAGUCUUAACUCUUCAACCUUCAAGAAAAUAGCAAAGUGAGCCAGAAGUUCAUAGCAAGAGAAACAAUGCAUGUGGAUAUGACUAUAGUAAUCAGCUCUCUUUUAUUACUUCCUUUUCUCUUAUAACAGAAUGAGAUAGAUAAUGAUCAAACAAAGCACAAAUGAAUCAUUUCAAGGAGCACAAGAUUACACUAUGAGCUACUACUAAUGCAACCCCUGAACAAGAAGCAACAAAAACUGUGACACAAAUUACAAAUAGAAGCUCAACCAAACGCUAGAGAAUCCAAAUCUAACAACGCUAGAGACAUGUGCUUGGAUCAAUCAAAGAGUUUCCGAAGAUAGCUUCUUUGAGACCAACUUCCUUUUCUGAUGAAUUGAAUCAAAUCAAGAACAAGAUAUAAGAGAAUCUCCCUUCAUUAAAAUAUCAAAAGCUACCUUUCUAUGAAAUAAUACAAAGACUAUAAAUAAGAAUUCUAAGCUAGGGUUUUCUAAGAAUAUACAAUAAAAGGAAAACUGUUGUGGUCGAAAACGGUCACGACGAAGUUAACGUCCAAAUCUCCGAAACAUAUAAGUAUGACUCUCCGCAACAUAGCUUUUCGAGAUAAAGUUUCAUCUCGAACUUCAUCUAGAUCAAACAUAAGCCAUCGGAAACAUACCCAAACCAUGUACGGAUAAGUUCGAGUAUGACAAUCGGAACACGGACAAACCAAGCUCGGUCAUUGCGCAACUACCGCACAUGCACGCUGUCCGGUCGCUACAUAGCGACCAAGCUCGAGCUAAGCUCGGUCGCUAUGUAGCGAUCGGGCGUUCGUCCCGUUCGGUCGCUACGUAACGAUCGGGCUUCGGCCAAGCUCGGUCGCUACGUAGCGACCGAGCUCUUCUGAAAUGUCGAUACGGCACCAGUCCGUGCAUUCUCGUCAAACCUUCGAUGAUAUCUCCCGAUGACCGUAGCAAACUCAGUUCAUGUUUUCCGCCAUUCUAAAUCAUCGAUCAAACUUUACGGGUAAAACCGUGGAAAGUUCGUUCUUUAUCGAAAGAAGUCGCAGUAAACGCUUCGAGUCAGAAGACGGCCCAAAGGGACCUAAAUACGACUCGAGACCCAACCUACGAUUUUCUUAACUGAAUGCCCGUAAACCGUAGCACGGUUUACGCUUGGCGCGCAAGGAAGGAUAAAUAUCAAGUUUCCGCGGAUGAAUACGAAAUUUUGAGGAUAAUUACAAGAUCGGAAAAAAAUUGGAAUAUCUCCAUUUUAUGCUAUGACGGCUUAAGGGCAGAAGAGUAAAAGCGUAGACCGACCUUGGAGCGAGUAUAUAAGGAGUCCUAGGAGAGAGGCAUGGGGUAGAACAUUUCCAGAGCAAACUUAGCACUUAGAGCAAUUUAGGCAUAUUUCCAUUUUUGUUAUUCGAGCUGCGACUCAAUUAGGUUAUUGCCGUCUUAGGGUUUUAGAACUAGGAAUCUCGCCGACAGCUCUCGUAGCCCAGGCU